Non-coding RNA from Anas platyrhynchos (mallard), 4088 nucleotides. NCBI's taxonomy places the organism in Eukaryota, Metazoa, Chordata, Aves, Anseriformes, Anatidae. The record is from RefSeq and is a predicted model, not a curated record.
GCAACAAACCUACACAGGGUAACUGGAGACACCAGAGCUGCCAGGAAAGGCAGAAGGGAUGCCCUGACCCUACACCCUCCUGCCUUCCUCUUUGGUGAGGAUGGGAGCACUGGGCACAGCCAGACACUCAGAGUUGGGCAUCUCUGGACUUGGGCAUCACUUGUGAAUCCCAAACUCAGAAAGAAACUUUGAAUAACUGCAGAACACUAGAGAUGAAAGUAAAAUAUGUAUCCCUGAAUAUGCUUUUAAAAUACUUAUUCUUGUUGCACAGCUUCAAAGAAGAAAGCAGUGAAACUUGACCGUAAUCUCUACUGAGCCACAUAACCUCCAACAUGCAAGAACCAGGGUCACGCCAUGACUGUCUGCUGUUCAUAGAAAGUCCCUCACAGCCCAGCCCAGCCCUACUGCAUGCUGCUGCUUCAGAGCAGAACGUGUAUCACUUUUCUGCCUGCCAAAGCCUUUUUUUCUGACAGAGUACUUUGUGAACAUGCUAUGAUGUACACCUCUGUCCUAGAAACAGGACUGGAAGAUUUUCACCUAUACAAUUCCUUUUUUUUUUUUCUUGUGGCAAGCUGCCUGCCAAUUUUGGAUGGGAAAUUCAUUUGGCUGAAGACCAAAUGAUCUAACCUUUUCAGACACUAAUCAUCAGAGCUGUCUAUAAGGAUCUCAAGAAAUCUAGCCUGAAGAGAUUUGAUCCUACAGGCAGUAAAUACAAAAAAAUAGUGCCUAAGCAAGGCAGAUAGGACCUCCAGAUGGAGAUCUGACUUCCACAGAGCUUCACCUUUGUAAAUCUCUAUGCUAACUACCUCUACUCCAAGAGAAUUAUCAGUUUAUAGGACAGGGAUUUGUAUGACUGUGAUAUCAAAAAGAUGUUGCAGAAGCAUGCUAAAAGUCAAUUACAGGACAGCAUUUUUUCCAGCAUACCACUGCACCUCUUGAUUCCAGUACAAAUAAAAAAAAAAAAAUAAUAAUAAAAAAGGAACUGUAAUACACACUUACAAAAAAGUGAUACAAACAACUCAGCUAUGUUGCUUCAGAAGGACACUUCGGAGACACAAAUAACAACCUUCUAAAUUAAAGUCACUGUAACAUAUUCCAUCACUUUUAAAACUUUUUUUCUUUUUUUCUGGUAAGAAUGGAGUGACAGAUGAAAACUGCAAAAUCACUUCUCUUCCUCUCGUUUUACUUUCUCUGUAUUGGUCAGGCGGCAAAUCUUUUAAAUGAGGAAAUGCCAGAAUCAGAGCAGUUAAUUCUGAAAGGGAUGCUGCACACUCACCAAGCCCCUUGACCCACAGCAGGAUCCCAAUGCAACCAGUUUAGACGUUCCUAAAUGCUCUGUUAGAUGAGCAUCUUAACGAGUCCCAGCAGCUUUGGGCUGAUCUAGUACAGUCCCAAGAAGCAGAGCUGAUAGUGGCCAUAUGGCUAGCUCUUCUGAAGAAAGGAAUCUUACACUGCUGGUAAACCCCACUCUUUCAGCAAACUCCUGAAAAGCUCCUAAGUUUUAUGUGGAAACCCCCAGAAAAUUCUCCAAGGAAAGCCGGGAAGACUCAGCAUUCCAGUAUUUCCAAAUGGAGAAAAGCCCCUCUUUAUGGUCCUAAAAAUCCCCUUUUCCUCUGCUUUGUGCAAGUGACCCUCCCGCUCCCCAGGGCUGCGGGAUCCCCCCGCAAACCUCCCGCGUUAUAGGGUGACAGCCGUGCCCCUGCUCGCCCGCCCGACACCCGCAGCGACCCUCGACGGCAGCGGCCCGGCGGGGGCUUUCUGCCCGCCCGCCCCCGGCCCUCGCAAGGGGCGCGGGGCUCGGCUGCAGCCUCCGGCGCUGCGCGGCACCUGCUCGGGGCGCGCCCCCGCGGGGCUGACCGCGGGUACCCGCGGAGCUCCGCGCGACUCCCCCAGCACCACCACCCCCUUUUUUCACCCCCCUCCACCCCCCUCACUCUUCUCCGGCCGCUUUCCCGGCAGCGGCCGGGCUGGGGACGGGGCUCUUUUACUUUCAUUCUAAGGACAAAAUCGGACAGGAAAAAAAAAAAAAAAAAAAGAAAAGCAAAACUGGGAAUUUCCCCGGGGCCGUCACCGCGGGGAUAAAAGGGCACCGGGCGGCACCGCGCAGCCACAGAGGAGGCGAGGAGACGGCAGAGCCGGCGGAGCGCCUAGAUGCUAGAGAGGAUGUGAUGGAGUUCUCAGAUGUGGAGGAGUCGUGGAGUUGCCAAAACUGGAAGGGGUAUAAAGCAUGCUGGAGGACAGGAUAAAUACUGAAAAUGAUCUUGAUGAGUUCAUCAUGAUUUAUAUGGUACAUCUGUGAUCACAGCAGAUCAAAUGGGUGUGAAGGACGGAAAUGUGAUUGCCUGCUCCAGCUCUGCCAAGGAUCACUGACCAGGCUGAUGGUUGUUCAGAAGGCUCCAGAGCAUCAUCUAACCAUACGAUCUAACCAGAACAAAAGGGAAGCAUCCUAAGGGACAUACAGUAUGACUGUGAGAUCAGGCCACUCUCUCAGCCAAGUUUCUGGAUGAGUGCUUUGAAAAAUAACAGUCCUUUUCCUAAAACAAUGGAUAUAAUCCUGAGGAAAAUUGUGCAAUCCAUCAAUCCUGUGGAGAGUUAUGGUUUGAGAAGAAGUUUAGAGAGACGGAACAAACAGAAGAGGAGGACUCUAAAUUGGCAAUAAAUGCUAUUAAAUCCCUGUAGUUCUUGCAGUUUGACAUCUGCUAAGUGUAUUAUUUGUCAUUUAGCCACAUAUGCACUGUCAGAGUGUGCUCAGGGAGCAAUUGCCAUGCCAUGCAAGUUAUGGUAGUUAUUCUGCUCUGAAAUACUAAAAAAAGAAAAAAAGGCAGCUUUCCUGUUCCCUAUACAAGGCUGAACCAGGUGGGGAACUCCAGCCAUUGCCAAAUCAUCACCAACCCCAAAGGAUUUGUUAUGGCAGGUUAUAAAGACCUCCUAAAUGAAACAUUGUAUUUGGAAGCAAAAAGGAGGGGAAAGAAAGGGAGAGCAAUGCACUUGUAGAUGGUUUUCUUCAAAUAUUUUAGAAUAGAUGAAUAUGGUGUUAAUUAAGCUUACAUUUUCAGGUACAGUUUAUAUGAACUAGGAAAAUCCUAGCCUCUUCAUGCAUUCAGGCUUAAAGAGAUAAUAUUGUAAUCCAUAGAGGUCAGGCUUGUUUUUCCUCAAUUCAACUAAAGGAAUAGAAAAUUAUUUUCAUAGCACCAUUCUUGAAUUUGAAGAAAAAAAGAAAAAAAAGCAGGUUACACUUAUAGUCAAAUUUAAUGAACUGCCAAUAAGCAAAGCAUUCAAGCUUUGUUCUACUGAGUAUAUGCAUCAAUCUUACCCUGAAUCAAGGUCAACAAAUUGUGGUGUUCAGAAAUGCUGAGUAUCACUGCAUAUGCUUUUUAAUGAUAAUAAUAGACCUUCAUAAUGACAUAGUAUAUUAUGCGGGCAGUUCUUAACAUUACAAUUUAAUGUUAAUAUUAACAAAACAGAAUAUUUUUAAUUCCUUAGUUUUUGUCUAUUUUUUUGUUGUUGUUGCUGUUGUUGUUUUAUUUUAAACCUGGACACCUGUCUGUUACAUUCGAAGUUAUUGCUUAUUCUUAUCGUCAGAAUUUUGUAGAAGUACAAGAAAAUGUGGCUGAAAAAUGCCCUAAAAAGUUUGGAAAUCUUGCUUACGACAAUGAGUUGGGACUUGUUUAUGAACUAUCUUUUUGAGAACUCACCUUUGCAAAGACCAAGCAACACCCAAGGGAAUUGUUGCAUUUUGAAGCUUUUCUGUGGUUGGUCCCCUUGACAGAAAUGGAAGUUUUUUGAAAAUGUCCUAAUGGUUUUUGUUUGUUUGUUUGUUUUUCUCCUUAUGAAUAUCAGAGUGUAAAAAAGGAGGUUAGUUUUGUAGAGAUAUAUAUUUCAGCCUGUGUAUUCUGAAUGCUUGGCAGAGAAUACAUGAAUAUCAAAGGCUACAGUGAUUUGGCAACUAGAAAAGGAAGGAACAUAUUUUUGCUAAAAGAAAAUGUAAUAAAAUAUGUAAUCCUCACUGCCUUUGUAAUCACCUCCCAUGAUAUACUCUGUUGAUUGGGAAUUAUUAGGCUAAGAAAUAAAAAGCAUAUUCUACUUUU